Molecule: transfer RNA, 71 nt
Filed under: Pyrgacris descampsi
Lineage: Eukaryota; Metazoa; Arthropoda; Insecta; Orthoptera; Pyrgacrididae
Description: tRNA-Val
Source: RNAcentral
CGUGAUAGUUCUUGUUAGAUAAGUGUUCCAUUUACACUGGAAAAAAUUCUGUGCAAUUCAGAAUGUCUCGA